Molecule: ribosomal RNA, 1238 nt
Filed under: Candidatus Phytoplasma citri
Lineage: Bacteria; Bacillati; Mycoplasmatota; Mollicutes; Acholeplasmatales; Acholeplasmataceae
Description: bacterial SSU rRNA
Rfam family: Bacterial small subunit ribosomal RNA
Source: RNAcentral
GCUAAGACUGGAUAGGAAGAAAUAAGGCAUCUUUUUUCUUUUAAAAGACCUAGUGAUAGGUAUACUUUAGGAGGGGCUUGCGCCAUAUUAGUUAGUUGGUAGGGUAAUGGCCUACCAAGACGAUGAUGUGUAGCUGGACUGAGAGGUUGAACAGCCACAUUGGGACUGAGACACGGCCCAAACUCCUACGGGAGGCAGCAGUAGGGAAUUUUCGGMAAUGGAGGAAACUCUGACCGAGCAACGCCGCGUGAACGACGAAGUACUUUGGUAUGUAAAGUUCUUUUAUCAAGGAAGAAAAGCAAGUGGUGAACCAUUUGUUUGCCGGUACUUGAUGAAUAAGCCCCGGCUAAUUAUGUGCCAGCAGCCGCGGUAAGACAUAAGGGGCAAGUGUUAUCCGGAAUUAUUGGGCGUAAAGGGUGCGUAGGCGGUCUAGUAAGUCAGUGGUGUAAUGGCAACGCUCAACGUUGUCCGGCUAUUGAAACUGCUAAACUUGAGUUAGAUAGAGGCGAGUGGAAUUCCAUGUGUAGCGGUAAAAUGCGUAAAUAUAUGGAGGAACACCAGAGGCGUAGGCGGCUCGCUGGGUCUUAACUGACGCUGAGGCACGAAAGCGUGGGGAGCAAACAGGAUUAGAUACCCUGGUAGUCCACGCCGUAAACGAUGAGUACUAAGUGUCGGGUUAAACCGGUACUGAAGUUAACACAUUAAGUACUCCGCCUGAGUAGUACGUACGCAAGUAUGAAACUUAAAGGAAUUGACGGGACUCCGCACAAGCGGUGGAUCAUGUUGUUUAAUUCGAAGAUACCCGAAAAACCUUACCAGGUCUUGACAUGUUUUUGCGAAACGGUAGUAAUAUCGUGGAGGUUAUCAGAAACACAGGUGGUGCAUGGUUGUCGUCAGCUCGUGUCGUGAGAUGUUAGGUUAAGUCCUAAAACGAGCGAAACCCUUAUCGUUAGUUGCCAGCACGUUAUGGUGGGGACUUUAACGAGACUGCCAGUGAUAAAUUGGAGGAAGGUGAGGAUCACGUCAAAUCAGCAUGCCCCUUAUGACCUGGGCUACAAACGUGAUACAAUGGCUGUUACAAAGGGUAGCUGAAACGCAAGUUCUUGGCCAAUCCCCAAAAACAGUCUCAGUCCGGAUUGAAGUCUGCAACUCGACUUCAUGAAGUUGGAAUCGCUAGUAAUCGCGAAUCAGCAUGUCGCGGUGAAUACGUUCUCGGGGUUUGUACACACCGCCCGUCA